This 57-nucleotide transfer RNA is filed under the name Uroplatus ebenaui. RNAcentral describes it as "tRNA-Cys". Lineage: Eukaryota; Metazoa; Chordata; Lepidosauria; Squamata; Gekkonidae. The record is from RNAcentral.
AUCCCCGCUCACGCGAUGCAAACGCGACCACGAGAUUAUAAAGGAUCUCCGGGGACU